RNAcentral lists this long non-coding RNA (3197 nucleotides) under Homo sapiens (human). Its description in RNAcentral is "HSALNT0272268". Lineage: Eukaryota; Metazoa; Chordata; Mammalia; Primates; Hominidae. The record is from RNAcentral.
CUGCUCAAUUUGUCCAGAAUCAUUAAAUAGCAAAUUUCUUUCUGAUAAUAAUGGCAGAAAUAUUUCAGUUCAAUUAGGUUGACAAUCAUAUUUGAGUUUCUGGUACCAAUAUACUACUCUCUGAUACGCAAUAUAAAUAAUAUCUGUAACCUAGUGUUCAUUAUCCAUGAAGUAUAAAUAAUCUUUUCAAAAUUGUUUGGAAAUGAACCAGUGGAUAUGCAUUCAGAAUUACUUUAGUUAAAACUCAAGACAUAUUAAAUGUACAUAGUACGUUCAUGUCCUUCUUUAUUUUGUCCUGUCCCCACUUUGGUUGUUGCCUGGCUGGUUCCCAAAGCAAUUCCGAAUUCCAGCAUGCAGAAUUUUAUGUGAAACUUACCUAAGACAAAGGAUGUUUUAUUUUUUCAAUGACCACUUUCUUUCAUGGCUUGGCACAUAAAAGAUGUAGACUUUCUCACUCUAUUUCUGAAUAAUGGAUUUUAAAACCAUAUUAGACAUCUCCAACAUAAUAUAAACUGAGGGAGUACAUGGUAGAGUAUCUUAGGAAUGUCCUGCCAGUAAACACAAGUAAUUAAUCAACCCACACAUUUUUUUUUGUUAGCCUAAUUUACUCCCAUGAGAUACAGCAGUAGUAAAAUUCAUUCAUCCAACAUUCUUUAAUACUUGCCAGAUAAGAAGGGCUACUUGCCCCCACUUCAGUGACAGGUUAAUAGUUCUAUUUUGGAAAUGUUUGUCUAAAUCCAAGAACUCAGGCUCAGUGCCAUUUAUUUAUUUGGGAGAUUGUUGGCAGGAAAGUACUAUACCCUUACCUGGCAGGAGUAGUGCGGGUGAGGAUUUUGCCUUCAUUUUCAUUUGUGCUUAAUUCAAUCUGAUAGAAAAUAGCUGCAGAGCACAAGUGAGAAGGAAUAUAUACAGAAUUUUCAAGGAAGAAAAAUAAAAUUGGUGUUAAAAUUAACUUCACUUCAACAUCUAAAGUGAAGUCUCAUUAUCCUGUGUACCUCAAGGACAUAUUCUCCAAACUUCUCAGCUAUUUCUGAGGGGCUCUCCACUUAUAUUUCAACUUCCUUCUUUGUAGCCCCAGAUAUAGGCUUACACCUCCUGGCUUGACUGCUUCUCUGAUGCUAUGAACUCUACAUUCAAGUUUCAAGCCAAUAGAGCUCCAAACAUACAAUUUCUCUGUAUCACAUUCACAAUGUUCUCUAGGCUUAAAGGGAGAAGAGUGACCUCCACCCCUCCUGCACUGGAGUAUAUUUCUCUCUCUUAAGACAACCCUCAAUCUACCUCCUAUUUAGUGAUGUUUCCACAUUUACUGUGCAUUUCAGGUAACAGCAGCCACAGGUGGUUACAUCUAUCCUUGCUUUGUACUGUCUAGCUCAACUACCACCACACCUAACUGUACCAUGCCAUUCUACUCCAGUGGCCAGAUGCCAGAUGGGCACUAAGGUGUCUGGCACCAUCCACAGACUGACCAGUAUAUGCCAUAGCCUAGUGCAAGUGCAAGAGGCCAACUCAAUCAGUCUGCCUUUGAAUGCUAGAUCUGGACACCAGAAAAUCUGGACACCAAAAAUCAAGAUGUCCACAUAAGUCAUACUUUCAGGCUGCCCUGAUUAUUUCUCAAGUACCUCAUAGCUAAAAUGUAAAAGGCCUAGCUAUUUUUAAAAAAAUUUUAAAUAGCUCUGAACCCGAGAAUGCUUUAAGUUCACAGUAAUAUAGAUGAAAGCUAAAAUGUCAAAGGUACAGCUAUAAUAACUUAAAAGACAAGUACCUUUGUGAAUCAGAAAUAAUCUAGAAAGAGUUUUAGAAAAUAUAUAAAUCUAUGGUCAUUCUUGGAUCUGGCUGGAGAAGCAGGCAGAACCAGCUAAAUGAUAACAUUGACUUUUUGAUAUGCCAUUCUGCAUACCGGUCUCACAUUCAGGCUGGUAACAGGACGGGUGCAGUUGUUCCUGCCAUCGCAUCUCAUAUUCACAUAGGACCGUAUUAAGAAUAUAAAAAAACUAGAGGAGCACCUAGGUCUCCUUCGUAAGAAAAUCUUUCUGGAAUGCCUCCACGUAGACUUCCCUAUAUAUCCUAUUGGCCAGAAUUUUGUUCUAUAUCCAUUCUUUACCUGAUCACUGGGAAGGCAGAAGGAAUUGCCAUAACUGGAAGAAAAAAACAACCUGUGGAAUAGAAUGUUUGGGAAGAAUCCAGCAAAAAUGCCCACCAUGAUACAUCUUUUGCUCAUACAUUAUGUUAAAAAUGCUGAUGUCAAAAUUAAACACACUCAGUCCUUCUUCAAAUAGAAACAACUCAAAGUUUCAUCCUUGGUCAAAUUCAGUAUUUUGCAUGAUGUGUAAUCCUCAUCACAUCUCUGCUCAGUUUUUCAUGUUCUAUAUCAGAGGUCAGCAAAAUAUGGCCCUAUAGCCAAAUCUGGCCUGCUGCCUGUUUUUGUGUGGCCCACAAACUAAUGUGUGUGUGUGUAUGUGUGUUUACAAUUGUUAAUGUUUACAUUUAAAACAAGAAUAAAUCAUAUUCUUUGUUUUUCCUUUUGUCCUGGAAAUUCUAAAAUAUUUACCAUAUGGUCCUUUGCAGAAAAUGUUUGCCAACUCCUGUUCAAUGGGACUUUGAAUGAAAAGACAAGUUUUCCACCCCAAUAUAACCAAUAUACAAUGAUACAUCAUUUUAAAAAUGUAAUUCUAAAAAGGGAUUGUUGGGUGACACUCUUACAUGAAUUUUGUCCUAAUAUUGGUCUUUGUGAGGGUGGUGGCCAAUGCUCCUUGGAAUGUCCUGCCUAUUCUUUUUUCCUAAUGUGGCCUUACGUAAACUGAGGUCAUGGAAGCAUGAAAUCCAAAAUUUUCUAACAAGGCUUCCAAGGGUGGAUCUUAUUUGUUUCAGUAGAACAAAACUUGCUAUUCUAAUGGUCUCUCCACUUUUCCUUCUGCCUCUGAGCAAGAUGAAGAAAAAAAGAUGAAGCUGUUUUCCAGAGACCAGCACUUCAUCCCUGAGAAAAUGUCAAGAUUAUAGGCAUGCUCUAUAGAAGAUAAUGAGUUAAUACCGAAUGGCUAAAUCAGGGGAGUAUUUGAUUGGGGUUCCCAGAAACCAACAAGAUGUGGAUUCAUAUUCAAAUGCUUCCAGGAGAAUCAAGUAAGGAAGUUAAGAAAGAGAAAGAAAGGAAACAAAGGCUUCUCUGAAGACAUGUCAUUUUACCCAAGACCUGAAAGAUG